RNAcentral lists this ribosomal RNA (247 nucleotides) under Cryptosporidium meleagridis. RNAcentral's name for it is "partial small subunit ribosomal RNA". It matches the Rfam family "Eukaryotic small subunit ribosomal RNA", at positions 391 to 639 of the family's 1831-position model. The record is from RNAcentral. Lineage: Eukaryota; Apicomplexa; Conoidasida; Eucoccidiorida; Cryptosporidiidae.
GGAGCCUGAGAAACGGCUACCACAUCUAAGGAAGACAGCAGGCGCGCAAAUUACCCAAUCCUAAUACUGGGAGGUAGUGACAAGAAAUAACAAUACAGGACUUUUUGGUUUUGUAAUUGGAAUGAGUUAAGUAUAAACCCCUUUACAAGUAUCAAUUGGAGGGCAAGUCUGGUGCCAGCAGCCGCGGUAAUUCCAGCUCCAAUAGCGUAUAUUAAAGUUGUUGCAGUUAAAAAGCUCGUAGUUGGAU